This is a long non-coding RNA of Lineus longissimus, 2303 nucleotides long. RefSeq lists it as uncharacterized. The transcript is spliced from 3 exons. The record is from RefSeq and is a predicted model, not a curated record. NCBI's taxonomy places the organism in Eukaryota, Metazoa, Nemertea, Pilidiophora, Heteronemertea, Lineidae.
CUUGUUUCGAAUAAUUGGUUCCCUUUCAAAACACGAAAUUGAUGAAAAUGUUUUUGUAUACUGAAUAUUUAAUGUCUGUAGAGCCAGAGCAUCAUUAAUCAGCGAUAUUCUAAUCAACAAAGUACGAAAUCAAAUUAUGGAUCUUCCACACAAUGAAUAAAUAAAUGGUAGUCUGCAUGUAACUUUUUAGUCUCAGUUUCGAUCGACGCGUUACAUUCAGUUAUGCCAACUGGAUUUUUUACUUGAUCCGCUAUUAACAAUAGCACACUGCUGACAAAGCGAGAAAUAUGGAUAACUGUAAGGCGAAGAUUGUCUACAUAAUUUUUUGGGAAUUUACGUUAAUUGGACUGUUUGUCAUUGUUUGUGGUACGCCCCCAAAAGGAUAUACUCAACGACAAGGAGACUGCAUCGGUUAUGAUAUGAACAGAAUAUCAAAUACGGACCUUAGUCCCUGCAUCUCUUCUUGCAACAGGGAUAAGGCAUGCAUGGCUCUCGUGUACAAGAGUACAGGAAAAUACUGCAUUCUCAAGACUAAAGUAGGAUGCCGCCUGCGCCUCACACAUGACGAUAGGUAUCUGUACUUUGAUAAGACAGAUACCAUGACCUUUGGAAUAUACUACAAGCGGACGACGUCUACGCCAUCGCAUGGUAUAGUGAGACAAACAAUAACGCCAUCAGGGAGCGAAGAAGAGUGCGCAGUUUCCUGUUCGAAUUACGUACCUUGCAGUGCCUUCGGAUACGACAGCUCAACAUUGAAGUGCCGUCUAUUGGCUAUCAUCGAAAACAAUACACUUGACCUAUCGCAAUUUGGUGAGAGCGUCUUCUAUAUGAUGGAACUGUAAUGUCCUAGGCCGGUCGUGUUUACUGGUAUGUCAUGAUUUAACGAGGUGACAAGAUAAGAUGCACUUCUUGUAAAGUCUUCAGAUAGCUUGACAGAUUUAGUUCUUUUUAUUUCCUGCUGCCGUAUGGAGAGGUGUACUUGGUUCGUUCAUGUUCUUUUACAAGCGUUGUUUACUUGUACCAAAUGUGUCUCCGUGUUUUUGCUUUCUGUACAUUUGAUAGUAAUUGUAAUUGCUAUAAUGUUCAGCAUUUUUUCAUCUUACGUAUCCAAUACAUCCUUAUUAUACGAACUGUCAUUGCUGAGGGCAAAGUCAUAUAACGGUUUAAAUAGCAUUCCGCGAUGAUGAGGUCACUGCAGCUGCUGCCCUCUAUUUCCCCAUCGCUGAAUUACAGCAAUGUCGGACAAACAUGCGGUUUCGUAAUGGAUUCAGGCUUUCUAACUAGGGCAGUUAGAUUCAAUCUGGCACAUGUCCGAGUGUUGGAAAUACUACAUAAUUGUUCUGAAUAUUUCUCUUUCUGACUCUAUGGUAUCAUUCAUGCUAAAACAAUGCAGGGUCAAAGAUAAUUGACUUUGAAAUAAGCUCAAAUGCGUAGAAAUAAGUGUCGAUGUCCGACUGUCACGUGACUAAAACGUCAUCAAUAUCUUAUGCAAAUGACCUUGUGAGCUAUAAAUAGUAACUUCGCGGAAUGCUAUUCAAAUUUGAUCAAACGUCAAAAAGGAAUUGAAUUUCAUAACCAUGGUAUCGGUUAUGCUUGGCAGAACCGCCAUGAAUAUAUAUGACACAUAUCAACAUCCACAAUGAGAUUUUAAUUGGUCAUAUCGGAUAUUCAUCGAUGUAUGGAAGUGAAGUGAAUGAGAUCAAGUAUCAGCAAGAACUCGUAAACACCGCUAUCGCCAUCCGUUUGAGAAUCUAAAGGUCCAGGCGAUGUCAAGAUAUUCUGAUGGAAGCGGGAGAGGGAUUGGUUACUCGAUAUUUGCGGUUCGAUUGUGAAAAUGGUUCACUGGCCUGGCAACUUCUCAUCCCUCGAAGAGCAGAAACGGCCGGGGAGGGGGGAAGGGGGGGGGGGGUAGCAAGGCUACUGCACGUGUUGGUAUUGUUUGAUUGGUCCUGUCGGCAGCGGCGUGUCCAAUAUUUCCCUCGCACAUUAUUCUUAGUGUUGUACAUAGAUGUAUAAGGUAGACUUGACAACAGCCAAUAGGAACACCCUGUGCCAUCCAUAUCAGGCUCUGCUGCAUAACCAGCCAAGAGAUACCAAGGGAUAGAUUUGCAGUGAGGGAGAUUAGCCUAGGCUUUGGUCGAGACCGGAGCCAAGGAAACAAGGUGUAUUAAAGAAUAUAAAGGAUUAUACAUGUAUAUGUGUUGUUAUGUGUGUUGAACCUGGAGGCCGAAAGCCCACACGUGACAUGGCGACCUCCCUGGUACAAGUCAGUUCACUUUCCCUACUAAGGCUGUAUUGCUCCC